Brachypodium distachyon (stiff brome) is the source of this 125-nucleotide non-coding RNA. The record is from Rfam. Lineage: Eukaryota; Viridiplantae; Streptophyta; Magnoliopsida; Poales; Poaceae.
AAAAUACUCCCUCCGUUCCAUAAUUCUUGUCUCAAAUUUGCCUAAAAAUGGAUGUAUCUAUUCCUAAAAAACGUGUAGAUACAUGUAAUAUUUCGACAAGGAUUAUGGAACGGAGGUAGUAUAUG